RNAcentral lists this transfer RNA (63 nucleotides) under Aegla uruguayana. Its description in RNAcentral is "tRNA-Tyr". It matches the Rfam family "tRNA". Rfam says of the family: Transfer RNA (tRNA) molecules are approximately 80 nucleotides in length. Their secondary structure includes four short double-helical elements and three loops (D, anti-codon, and T loops). The record is from RNAcentral. Lineage: Eukaryota; Metazoa; Arthropoda; Malacostraca; Decapoda; Aeglidae.
AAUAAGAUGGCUGAAGAUAGGCACUAGAUUGUAAAUCUAGUUAUGAGUAUAACUCUCUUAUUA